This 1041-nucleotide ribosomal RNA is filed under the name uncultured bacterium. RNAcentral's name for it is "bacterial SSU rRNA". It matches the Rfam family "Bacterial small subunit ribosomal RNA", at positions 8 to 1056 of the family's 1533-position model. The record is from RNAcentral.
AGAGUUUGAUCAUGGCUCAGGACGAACGUUGGCGGCGCGCUUAAUGCAUGCAAGUCGAACGAGAACCAGUGAGUUCGUAAGAACCCGCUGGGGACAGUGGCGAACGGGUGCGUAACACGUGAGAAACCUGCCCUGGAGACCGGGAUAGCGCGGGGAAACCCGCAUUAAUACCGGAUACCUUCACCGGACCGCAUGGUCUGAUGAAGAAAUGGUCCGCCGCUCCAGGAUGGUCUCGCGGCCUAUCAGCUUGUUGGUGAGGUAACGGCUCACCAAGGCAACGACGGGUAGCUGGUCUGAGAGGACGAUCAGCCACACUGGGACUGAGACACGGCCCAGACUCCUACGGGAGGCAGCAGCAGGGAAUAUUGCACAAUGGGCGAAAGCCUGAUGCAGCGACGCCGCGUGCGGGAUGAAGGCCUUCGGGUUGUAAACCGCUUUCAGGAGGGAAGAAAAUGACGGUACCUCCAGAAGAAGGCCCGGCCAACUACGUGCCAGCAGCCGCGGUAAUACGUAGGGGCCAAACGUUGUCCGGAAUUAUUGGGCGUAAAGAGCUCGUAGGCGGCUUGACAAGUCGGACGUGAAAACCCGGGGCUCAACCCCGGGACGCCGUUCGAAACUGUCAUGGCUAGGGUCCGGUAGAGGUGAGUGGAAUUCUAGGUGUAGCGGUGAAAUGCGCAGAUAUCUAGAGGAACACCAGUAGCGAAGGCGGCUCACUGGGCCGGUACCGACGCUGAGGAGCGAAAGCAUGGGGAGCAAACAGGAUUAGAUACCCUGGUAGUCCAUGCCGUAAACGUUGAACACUAGGUGUGGCGGACUUAUCCACGUCUGCUGUGCCGCAGCUAACGCAUUAAGUGUUCCGCCUGGGGAGUACGGCCGCAAGGCUAAAACUCAAAGGAAUUGACGGGGCCCCGCACAAGCGGCGGAGCAUGCGGCUUAAUUCGAUGCAACCCGAAGAACCUUACCUGGACUUGACAUCAUGGGUCUACCUGUAGAGAUACGGGGUGCUUUUGCGCCCAUGACAGGUGGUGCAUGGCUGUCGUC